ACAAAUCAAAUCCAAUCUGGUCCAACAACACCAACUCACCGCACCAAACCUUUUUUGUAUUCCUUUUUUCCUGGUCUCUCUCCGUUUGUUCAUUGGUUCUUCCUCAUCGUCUUCGUUUUUCAACAUCCAUCUCUGCAACCCUUUAUCAUUUUCAGACGUGAUUUAUGCUUUCAAAACCUGGGUCUUCGUCAAAAUCUCAUCUUGGGGGUGCAUGUCACCCUGCUGAGUGCUGACGCAUACAUUUUCUAA
Vicia faba (fava bean) is the source of this 249-nucleotide non-coding RNA. NCBI's taxonomy places the organism in Eukaryota, Viridiplantae, Streptophyta, Magnoliopsida, Fabales, Fabaceae. The record is from the annotation of a GenBank genome assembly.